RNAcentral lists this ribosomal RNA (593 nucleotides) under fungal sp. ARIZ L177. RNAcentral's name for it is "eukaryotic LSU rRNA". The stretch from base 223 to 376 matches the Rfam family "5.8S ribosomal RNA". The record is from RNAcentral. Lineage: Eukaryota; Fungi.
UGGAAGUAAAAGUCGUAACAAGGUCUCCGUUGGUGAACCAGCGGAGGGAUCAUUACAGAGUUGCAAAACUCCAAACCAUUGUGAACCUACCUCUGCCGUUGCUUCGGCGGGCGGCCCGGGCCCUGCCCGGCGCCCCUCGGCCCCUCUCGGGGCGCCCGCCGGAGGCAAACCAAACUCUUGAAUUGUAUGGCCUCUCUGAGUCUUCUGUACUGAAUAAGUCAAAACUUUCAACAACGGAUCUCUUGGUUCUGGCAUCGAUGAAGAACGCAGCGAAAUGCGAUAAGUAAUGUGAAUUGCAGAAUUCAGUGAAUCAUCGAAUCUUUGAACGCACAUUGCGCCCGCCAGUAUUCUGGCGGGCAUGCCUGUCCGAGCGUCAUUUCAACCAUCAAGCCCCGGGCUUGUGUUGGGGACCUGCGGCUGCCGCAGGCCCUGAAAACCAGUGGCGGGCUCGCUAGUCACUCCGAGCGUAGUAGUUUACACCUCGCUCAGGGCGUGCUGCGGGUUCCGGCCGUUAAAAAGCCUUAUUUUACCCAAGGUUGACCUCGGAUCAGGUAGGAAGACCCGCUGAACUUAAGCAUAUCAAUAAGCGGAGG